Non-coding RNA from Linepithema humile (Argentine ant), 336 nucleotides. NCBI's taxonomy places the organism in Eukaryota, Metazoa, Arthropoda, Insecta, Hymenoptera, Formicidae. The record is from RefSeq and is a predicted model, not a curated record.
CGCCGUAAGCGGUGUUUAUAAGUGUCACCGUGUCACACAGUGAUGCGUGAACUGUCACCAGUUGGGCUAUACUGUCCGUGAAACCUUUGCCAUCUGAACAAAAGGUAUACGAUAGACAAUUGUACCAUUUGUGCCAGACGAAUCCAUGAUCUUCGAUUUCCUAAACAUUCGAGUAUUUCCCAAAUCCUGCCGAAUGUACAUAGGAACUUGUCCUUGAUCUCGAAGGUCGCCGGCUAAGAGAACAAACGAUGAUUGUGAUGAUUUAUUGAAGGGACACACGCACCCAAUCCAAGAUCCUUCCUGAAUUGAUCCGUGAUCCUGCCGCUCCUGAGGAUG